AGAGUUUGAUCCUGGCUCAGGAUGAACGCUAGCUACAGGCUUAACGCAUGCAAGUCGAGGGGCAGCAUUGGAGUAGCAAUACUUCAGAUGGCGACCGGCGCACGGCCUUUCGAAAGAAAGAUUAAUACCCGAUGGUAUAAAGAGUUCGCAUGUUCUCUUUAUUAAAGAAUUUCGGUAAGCGAUGGGGAUGCGUUGCAUUAGAUUGUUGGCGGGGUAACGGCCCACCAAGUCUACGAUGGAUAGGGGUUCUGAGAGGAAGGUCCCCCACAUUGGAACUGAGACACGGUCCAAACUCCUACGGGAGGCAGCAGUGAGGAAUAUUGGUCAAUGGACGAGAGUCUGAACCAGCCAAGUAGCGUGAAGGAUGACUGCCCUAUGGGUUGUAAACUUCUUUUAUAAGGGAAUAAAGUGAGGGACGUGUCCCUUUUUGUAUGUACCUUAUGAAUAAGGAUCGGCUAACUCCGUGCCAGCAGCCGCGGUAA
RNAcentral lists this ribosomal RNA (482 nucleotides) under uncultured bacterium. RNAcentral's name for it is "bacterial SSU rRNA". It matches the Rfam family "Bacterial small subunit ribosomal RNA", at positions 8 to 523 of the family's 1533-position model. The record is from RNAcentral.